RNAcentral lists this ribosomal RNA (465 nucleotides) under uncultured Klebsiella sp. RNAcentral's name for it is "bacterial SSU rRNA". It matches the Rfam family "Bacterial small subunit ribosomal RNA", at positions 338 to 795 of the family's 1533-position model. The record is from RNAcentral. Lineage: Bacteria; Pseudomonadati; Pseudomonadota; Gammaproteobacteria; Enterobacterales; Enterobacteriaceae.
CCUACGGGGGGCAGCAGUGGGGAAUAUUGCACAAUGGGCGCAAGCCUGAUGCAGCCAUACCGCGUGUGUGAAGAAGGCCUUCGGGUUGUAAAGCACUUUCAGCGGGGAGGAAGGCGGUGAGGUUAAUAACCUCAUCGAUUGACGUUACCCGCAGAAGAAGCACCGGCUAACUCCGUGCCAGCAGCCGCGGUAAUACGGAGGGUGCAAGCGUUAAUCGGAAUUACUGGGCGUAAAGCGCACGCAGGCGGUCUGUCAAGUCGGAUGUGAAAUCCCCGGGCUCAACCUGGGAACUGCAUUCGAAACUGGGAGGCUAGAGUCUUGUAGAGGGGGGUAGAAUUCCAGGUGUAGCGGUGAAAUGCGUAGAGAUCUGGAGGAAUACCGGUGGCGAAGGCGGCCCCCUGGACAAAGACUGACGCUCAGGUGCGAAAGCGUGGGGAGCAAACAGGAUUAGAUACCCUUGUAGUC